ACUGUGCAGGCAAGAAUGCUGAGGCUGAGGGACAGGCCACCCUUUCCGUGGCUGAUGGAGGAGACUAUUCCAGAGUCCACAGUGAAGUUCAACACAACUGUUAAAAGCUAACAAAACAUUAAGGCCUGUGGAGGGAAUGAAGUCGGAAGAGGAGAGGCCGAUAAGAAAACCAUUCUACAGGAGCCAGGAAGGCUACAUGAAGCAACUCCAUGGCAGAUCCACUCUGUGACAGACACUGCCCCUUCUUCCUUAUGGUGUGUGAAGAAGUCUUUCAGAUUUCCUCUGGGUGGGACGGAUUGCUGGAGGCCUCCAGCCACCUGAGAAAAGCAGCUGCCUUCCUGUCGCCAUGCCAACUGCUCGGGAUUUCCCCCUUUCUUUCCCAGUCUUCCCAUCAAUGUGGGAAAGUCACGCCCCCACCCCGGUGGGGCACCAUUUCUAACUACCUUUGGCUCCUUCCCUCGCUUUUUGUGUGAGACAAGAAAACUGGCAAUGACGUUGUCUUUUCGAAUAUGAUUUUCAUUCUGUU
Molecule: long non-coding RNA, 526 nt
Organism: Mesocricetus auratus (golden hamster)
Lineage: Eukaryota; Metazoa; Chordata; Mammalia; Rodentia; Cricetidae
Exons: 3
Source: RefSeq, a predicted model, not a curated record